UAGGAUUUUGACUGACAAAAUCUUUGACGUG
This 31-nucleotide non-coding RNA is filed under the name Rattus norvegicus (Norway rat). Lineage: Eukaryota; Metazoa; Chordata; Mammalia; Rodentia; Muridae. The record is from RNAcentral.